UGACAAACCGAGCAUAGCUCGCUCCAU
Molecule: small RNA, 27 nt
Filed under: Bombyx mori (domestic silkworm)
Lineage: Eukaryota; Metazoa; Arthropoda; Insecta; Lepidoptera; Bombycidae
Description: ovarian small RNA-31271
Source: RNAcentral